GAUGAACGCUGGCGGCGUGCCUAAUACAUGCAAGUCGAGCGAAUGGAUUAAGAGCUUGCUCUUAUGAAGUUAGCGGCGGACGGGUGAGUAACACGUGGGUAACCUGCCCAUAAGACUGGGAUAACUCCGGGAAACCGGGGCUAAUACCGGCUAACAUUUUGAACCGCAUGGUUCGAAAUUGAAAGGCGGCUCCGGCUGUCACUUAUGGAUGGACCCGCGUCGCAUUAGCUAGGUGGUGUGGUAACGGCUCACCAAGGCAACGAGGCGUAGCCGACCGGAGAGGGUGAUCGGCCACACUGGGACUGAGACACGGCCCAGACUCCUACGGGAGGCAGCAGUAGGGAAUCUUCCGCAAUGGACGAAAGUCUGACGGAGCAACGCCGCGUGAGUGAUGAAGGCUUUCGGGUCGUAAAACUCUGUUGUUAGGGAAGAACAAGUGCUAGUUGAAUAAGCUGGCACCUUGACGGUACCUAACCAGAAAGCCACGGCUAACUACGUGCCAGCCGCCGCGGUAA
Molecule: ribosomal RNA, 515 nt
Filed under: uncultured bacterium
Lineage: Bacteria
Description: partial 16S ribosomal RNA
Rfam family: Bacterial small subunit ribosomal RNA
Source: RNAcentral